RNAcentral lists this non-coding RNA (124 nucleotides) under uncultured Intestinibaculum sp. Its description in RNAcentral is "glmS glucosamine-6-phosphate activated ribozyme". It matches the Rfam family "glmS glucosamine-6-phosphate activated ribozyme aptamer", at positions 5 to 149 of the family's 167-position model. Rfam says of the family: This entry contains a glucosamine-6-phosphate activated ribozyme that is found in the mRNA for GlmS. GlmS is an enzyme that uses fructose-6-phosphate and glutamine to generate glucosamine-6-phosphate. The ribozyme catalyses self cleavage of the glmS mRNA that is thought to regulate GlmS activity. The record is from RNAcentral. Lineage: Bacteria; Bacillati; Bacillota; Erysipelotrichia; Erysipelotrichales; Erysipelotrichaceae.
AUGAAAUAGCGCCAGAACUCUAUGAGUUGACGAGGACUAAGAUUAUCGAAAAUUCGGCGGAUGUCUUAGAGGUAUGAUACUACCUAAGCGACAGGCAAAAACGGGAGGUGACUCCCCAACAGAU